Long non-coding RNA from Strigops habroptila (Kakapo), 111 nucleotides. RefSeq lists it as uncharacterized. The transcript has 3 exons. Lineage: Eukaryota; Metazoa; Chordata; Aves; Psittaciformes; Psittacidae. The record is from RefSeq and is a predicted model, not a curated record.
UGUAGGCUUCCUUCAGAUACUGGAAGGCUGCUAUGAGGUCUCCACGCAGCCUUCUCUUCUCCAGGCUGAACACUCCCAACUUUCUCAGACUAUCUUCAUACCAGAGGUGCU